Molecule: long non-coding RNA, 4283 nt
Organism: Motacilla alba alba
Lineage: Eukaryota; Metazoa; Chordata; Aves; Passeriformes; Motacillidae
Exons: 3
Source: RefSeq, a predicted model, not a curated record
UGGCCGCUGUUCCCCGUCCACAUCCUGCGGGGGUUUGCCCCUCGGAGCGUCUUUGCCCGGCCCAUCCCGCCCAGGGGGCACCGGGCCGCAGGUACCGGCUCGGCCCUUCCCCGGCGCGCCCGGCUGGAGCCGCCCCUCUCCGGGAUGCGCGGGGAGCCGGGCGCGGACCGGCCGCGGGGCCACCGCCGCUGGGAAGGGUGCGCGGAGCCGGCCAGUGGGAAACUGCAUUGGGGCACGGAGCAUGUCUGGGAACGCUUCCAGGGGGGUGAAAACUCCUCCCUGGCACGGGCUGAAGCAGCGCCUUGGUGACAAGUGUCCCUCCGUCGAGGGGAGUGCCGGUAGCAAGAGUGAGUGGGAGUGUGUUUGUGUGUGUUAUAAAGGCACUCGUACAGUGCUUGGCAAUUUGAGGAUCUCUGGCGUAUUUUAGACCAUGGCAUUGAUUAAAAACAUUUUUAAGUUGCCGUGCCAUUAUUUUGACCUGGAAAGCAAAAGGACAUGCUUAGGAUGCCUAGCAGGCUAUGGCUGGGACUGCCCACUGUACCAUCCUGUGUUGGACUGCAUCCUUGCUGCUGGAGAGCAGGCUCUCCUAGAACCAGAAUAAUUCCAUGGGAACCAGGAGCCACGGGAAGCAGUUGGAGAAAUACGUGACAGAAGGACGCAAGCAGUUUGUCUGCCCCUUUCAGUGGAACCUUCCACCAAAGGAGGUUAGGAGCCUCCAGAAGAACGUGUUUCCAGAUGCAGGCCUGGCUUGCAGAAGGUGCAUUAUAGAUGAAGUGCUGACAGUCUGGCAGGAAAAAAAUGAAUAUUUUCUGGGAUGCUUCAUUCAGGGCUGGAGAAGCUGCUGUAACCUGAAGGUCAACAAUGAUGGAAGAUAUUCAUCCCUACCCUUAAAUAUGGCCUAAAUCAGAAGAAUUACAGUUUAUUUUCUUUGUACCUUGCUUUUGUAGGGUACUCUGAUGUAAUGUGUUUCUGUGAAGCUUGUAGGGUGUGUGUCUUGACAGGAUGGGAUGAUAGUUGUUUUAUUGUGGUUCUAAAGGCAUAACUGAAUGUAACAGAGCAUAGGUGUCACAACUUCACUAGAGUCCAGAAUGGUUGGAGUCUAGAACUGAAUCCUUUCCUGUAUAUUGUAAACAUACAUGUUUUUCUUCCAAAAGUACUUGGAUUUAGAGUGUUGCACCACAUAAGUAUUGAAAGAAAUGCCUCCACUGCUACUGUUCUUGCAUUCUUCAAUUACGGUGAUUAAGGCAUACAUGUUUUAUCUCAGUUACUUGAGAUAUAGAUACAGCUCUUUGGCAGUUUUUGCCAUGUUGAAGUAUCUUAGAUAGACUAACAAAAACAAGCACAUCUUCAAUUUAAGUAGUAACAUCAUAUAUGAAAUUAGUGAGAAGGAUAAGUAAGUAAGCUGUCAAAAAACAAUUUAACAUAUUCUAGUAUUCUGACCUCAUUAAUACAUUUUCAUGUUUGCAAUGAAUCAUCGAAGUUUUGUGGUUUAGAUAGCUGAUGAUGCAUUAACAAACAGGGAAGAACAAAAUCCAUUGCAGAGCUGACAUCGUAAGGCUUAAUUCUGGCAGUCAACAAAAAGAUUUGCUUUCAUUUUGAUAUUUCACUAAACACUUCUAAUGUUAGUCUCUGUUUUAUAGUUAUGGCUUAGAGAAAACUGUAUCUACCUACAGAAAAUACUAAAAUGAAAUUGUUGCUUUUAAUUAACAGCAUUAUUUUCCUGAAAUUAUGUUUUUUUACCUCAGUGCUGAUCCAAAUGAGGUAUAAAUUGCUAAAUCCCCUAGCUCCAGCAUGUCAGCUCUUCAGUUCACACAGCAGCAACGUGCACCCUUCCCCUGGAAGCCUGAGACAAGGAUCAUGACAGUCUUUGGGCUGCCAGUACAGAAAAAUCCUGUGGCUGGGCUACAAUGGAUUUCUGUGUUUUGAUUGCCAGGGAAAACAUAGAAAGAUUAUUUCCCUCCCCUAUCUUCUGUGCUAUGCGAAAGCCUGCCACAUGACAGUAAUUAGUAACUACCUGGUGAUGAGGGAAAUACAGAUCUCCAAGCGAUACAGGGUUUGUUAACUGGACACAUCUAAUUACUGUCUCUGUAUGCACAGCCAGCCAAGGGAUUCAGUCGAGUACAUUACAUUAGAAAUGACAGGAGUUAAAACUUCCUGUGGUGUCUUGCACUUUUACAGGCUGGAAAAAUGUUGCAGGGUGAGAGGCACAAGCAGUGCUGUGAGAGCAGAGAUUACCAGCGGUGCUUAUUGCAAUUACUCGCCCAAGGAUUUCCAGCCUUGCAGCUGCUGUUUGAGUUUGAUGGUCUUGCUAGGUGUCAUUUGGUGGCUACUACUUGCUCAGUGCCCAUUAAUUAGCAAACACACUUGUAGAACUUCCAUGGAAGGAUUAGGGGACUCAAAGAGGAAAGCAAAUCAGGUUUUUUUAUCAUACCAAUAACAUAGCUGUUUUCACUGUGAAAUUAUGGAGCUUCUAGGUAUAAGCACUGAUUCUGCUUGAUUUUUCCAUCUUUUGUUUUUAAGGUAAUUAAAUAAGACUAAGCAUGGCUAGGAUGUGAGUAGGUAAGACUAAGUCCUAAAAGUAACUUUUUUAUUUCUUAGAAUACUUGAGAAUCAGAUAAAAUCACUUUAGUUCUUGCUAGGUAGACGACUUUUAUUAUCUUGAGAAGGGAAAAAUAAAAAAGUGCUUACUGCUUUCUUUUCUUCUUAAUCUGAACUGUAUAGGCAGAUUCAGCAUAUACAAGUCCUAUAUUUGUACUAAAAAAUAGCAGCAACAAUUUUUCAGGAAGAUGGGAUUAGAUAGUUUAACAUUGUUUUAACAUAGCUUUAAUGACUAUUGUAUAUAAUUAAGAGUAAAAUUACAUGCAUAGUCGAGGAAUGUGUGUGUUCAAUUUACACAGAAUGAACAGACAUGCUUCCCAUUUCUGGCUGCAACUGUUCUGCUUUUCACCUCUAAAAUCAGUGAGAUUAGCUGGAGGUAUCAUCUUUUCCAUUCCCUGAUGAAGAACAGCAUCUGCUCCAAGUGCUUUCAUUUAUAAGCAGCAUAUGUUGGGGUCAGGAAACAGCCCAGGGCAAGAAUGAUAAUAGUGGGCAGAAAAGCAGGUGAGAGACAGAUCACUGAUCUCUGAAACAUACAGUCCUUGCCAUAUAAUGCUGUGGUGCAUGCUCUGCUACCUUGGCCAGCCUCUGCCAGCUUUCAUCUUAAGACUCACUGUGCAAAGGUAGUAUUCCAGGGGCAUUUAGAAAAGGUUCUUGCACGUUCUAGGUGCCUUAGGAAGCUCAGAAUAAACAGCCAGGCAUGGGUUGGACUUGUGCUGCUGAAUUGAUAAGGAUCUAAACCAAAUCUCUAAUUUGCUGUGCACAACAGAGCAGGGGACUGUGCUAUUUUGUGUAGUAGAAAGAUGGUAGUUACUAUGCAAGAUAAAGACCUCAAUGUUUUCAAAAGAAAAAGCACCAGUUUGCCAAGUGAAAUUGUGUACUGAUGUUAAUCUGUGUCUGCAUACCUUCACUGUACACAGGCAAGCACAGUGAAAGCUUAAUGAUGGUAACCUGGAGACUGAAAAAAGUGGAGUUCUACAUAAAAAAUGCAUGUGCCUCAGCAGAAUAAAUAACUUUUGUAUCACUGGAUGAAUCUGACAGUCAUCUGCACAAUGAUAAUGAUGUUGAACUUCACUGUAAUUAUUUGAUACCAAUGUUCUAGAUGCUACUGUAUUACUGGAGCAACGAGAUGUGUGUUCUUUUUUUUUUUUUUUAACACUGGCCUCAGUAGGGUUUAUUGCAAGAAGCUAAGGGAAAUCUAAGGGAAAUGCUGCUGUCAACUUGCUUCAUGAAUGCCACUGGAGAAAAAAUUCAGAAUUUCCCAAGUGACUCAUAGAUAUCUUAUGGCUGGAGAUUUCUGUGGGGAUGUCAGAGUGAUUUCAUUUCUUCCUUGGAAACGGCCACCUGCAUCUCUGGUCUGUCAGCCCUCAAAGGUUUUCCCCUUGCCCAUCUGUCUCUGCAGUAAAUUUACAGAUAUGGAUUGCUUUUCCUUGUGUAAUGUUCCUUGAUAUUAUUUUAAUGUUGUUUGUUCACGGGAGAUUUUUUCCUGCCACUUUUUUCCCAUAAGUAAUUUUGAAGUGUCUGCUUCCUUGUCAUAACUGUAUAUUUGUAAGCUCCAAAGACAUCUUUAUAGGCAUUGUACCUAAUUUCAAAUUCAGAUAUUGCUUUAAAUUUGGAAACUAUAGAGACAUUAAAAAAAAUCCCAACAACAAACCCUUAAGAUUUUCAGGUCAAAAGUUCUUCUUUUC